UACGUAGGGUCCAAGCGUUAUCCGGAAUUACUGGGCGUAAAGCGAGUGUAGGUGGCUGUGUAAGUGUAAUGCGAAAUCUUGCGGCUCAACCGUAUAGACUGUAUUGCAUACUGCAUAGCUCGAGGAUGGGAGAGGUACGUGGAAUUACCGGUGUAGCAGUGAAAUGCGUAGAUAUCGGUAGGAACACCAAUGGCGAAGGCAGCGUACUGGCCCAUAUCUGACACUCAGACUCGAAAGCGUGGGGAGCGAACAGG
This 254-nucleotide ribosomal RNA is filed under the name uncultured bacterium. Its description in RNAcentral is "partial 16S ribosomal RNA". It matches the Rfam family "Bacterial small subunit ribosomal RNA", at positions 524 to 776 of the family's 1533-position model. The record is from RNAcentral.